Molecule: ribosomal RNA, 481 nt
Filed under: uncultured bacterium
Lineage: Bacteria
Description: bacterial SSU rRNA
Rfam family: Bacterial small subunit ribosomal RNA
Source: RNAcentral
AACGAACGCUGGCGGCACGCCUCAUACAUGCAAGUCGAGCGCGAAACCACCUUCGGGUGAUGUAGAGCGGCGAACGGGUGAGUAACAGGUGGGUAAUCUGCCCUUUGGCGGAGGACAACAGCUGGAAACGGCUGCUAAUACCGCAUGUGAUUGUGGACUUAUGGUCUGCAAGGAAAGGCGCCUCAAAGCGCCACCAAAGGAUGAGCCCGCCCCCCAUUAGCUAGUUGGUGAGAUAACAGCUCACCAAGGCAUCGAUGGGUAGCCGAGCUGAGAGGUUGAUCGGCCACACUGGAACUGAGACACGGUCCAGACACCUACGGGUGGCAGCAGUAGGGAAUAUUGCGCAAUGGGCGAAAGCCUGACGCAGCGAUGCCGCGUGAGUGACGAAGGUCUUAGGAUUGUAAAGCUCUUUUCUGAGGGAAGAAUAGGUCUGGUAGGAAAUGACUGGAUUCUGACGGUACCUCAGGAAUAAGGAACGGUA